CCUCAGCCCAUCCAUCUCCCAAGUCAGGCAGCCACAGAUGCUGAAAAUGGUUUGAGAGAGAAGUAAAGGUGGGGGUGGGGGGACGGGAGGAAGGGGUGAAGAGGAAUAGUUACUUGUGCAGGUUUGAGUGCUUAUUUUUCUUUCUCCAGAUUUAAUGGCAGGAAAAUCCUCUGUAUCACAUGAGGAUUAACAGAGAUGAAAGAAUGUGUCUGCCUUUCGAAUCACUAAAGCCAGUGACAGAUUUUGCUGACAUACCAAUCGGCUUUAUCCCCGGGCCUUGACCACCCUGGCCCUCCUGUCCUCUCUCCAUCUGCCUGGCCCCUUUCUCUCCUUAAACCUUCCCCAGACCCUGCCC
This 355-nucleotide long non-coding RNA is filed under the name Homo sapiens (human). RNAcentral's name for it is "HSALNT0281853". The record is from RNAcentral. Lineage: Eukaryota; Metazoa; Chordata; Mammalia; Primates; Hominidae.